Molecule: ribosomal RNA, 224 nt
Filed under: uncultured bacterium
Lineage: Bacteria
Description: partial 16S ribosomal RNA
Rfam family: Bacterial small subunit ribosomal RNA
Source: RNAcentral
AAAAAUAGGUCUCAGUUCGGACUGUAGGCUGCAACUCGCCUACACGAAGUUGGAAUUGCUAGUAAUCGUGGAUCAGCAUGCCACGGUGAAUACGUUCCCGGGUCUUGUACACACCGCCCGUCACACCAUGGGAGCUGGUAACACCCGAAGUCAGUAGUCUAACCGCAAGGAGGACGCUGCCGAAGGUGGGAUUAGCGACUGGGGUGAAGUCGUAACAAGGUACC